Molecule: long non-coding RNA, 330 nt
Organism: Quercus lobata
Lineage: Eukaryota; Viridiplantae; Streptophyta; Magnoliopsida; Fagales; Fagaceae
Exons: 2
Source: RefSeq, a predicted model, not a curated record
CCCUUAUUUCAUUGUGAUUGAUUAUAAUCUCUCAUUUUCUUUUGCUACCUUGGUUUGGUUUGAACCUUGAAAGCCUGCGUUUUAUUGCGUAGCUCUGGGUUACCAAAAGAAUUAUAGAAAGGAGUGGGCCUGAAAAUGGGUUACAUAAUUGUGAUUUCAUUGCCAGUGAUACUGUUAAUUUUGAUCAUAGCACUUGCAUUUUACCUUCUUGGUAGGGCCCGUGGUCGGAGCGAAGCAAUUCCUCAGUAUUAUGGGCCUCCAGCUCCUCCAUUCCAAGCCCAAUCUCCGGCCCAUGAUAAACCACCACAGGUCUAGAUUCGUAUUUCUUAU